RNAcentral lists this ribosomal RNA (135 nucleotides) under uncultured eukaryote. Its description in RNAcentral is "partial 18S ribosomal RNA". It matches the Rfam family "Eukaryotic small subunit ribosomal RNA", at positions 1299 to 1458 of the family's 1831-position model. The record is from RNAcentral.
UGGUGGAGUGAUUUGUCUGCUUAGUUGCGAUAACGAACGAGACCUUGGCCUCUAACUAGGGUGCGCAGCGGUAGCUACGCGACCUUCUUAGGGGGACGUAUUGAUGUAAGUCGAUGGAAGUUCGAGGCAAUAACA